This 1305-nucleotide unclassified non-coding RNA is filed under the name Zea mays. RNAcentral describes it as "misc RNA Zm00001eb425640". Lineage: Eukaryota; Viridiplantae; Streptophyta; Magnoliopsida; Poales; Poaceae. The record is from RNAcentral.
CUGAGUUUUCCAAACCCUGCUCAAGGUUCGACAACAAUGUGGGCACCCAUGCAUACAGGGAAUACUUCUUCCCAAUCUACCAUGAUUCCCGCCUCUCAAUCAGCUAUGUACUGGAAUCAUUACUUGAAUUUUGUCAGGAAUCCUCUUGGGCCACCUGAAGUUAACCCAUUUCCUGAUUGCAUUCCACCAUCCAAUACCAGUACACCAUUGCAGGGUUCCAAUACUAUACCUUCCAUACCUGUGAAUUUGGACUCAGAUGCAGAACAUAGUGUUCAAGACAUCAAUAGUCCUGAAAAGAAUGCACCUCCUAUACAAAAACCCAAAAAGGCUAAGGAACAAAACUUUACUGGCCCUGAAGAUCUUCUACUUUGCACAACCUGGUUGCAAAUUAGCAGUGACCCUGUUGUGCACACUGGGCAACGUAGGGAGGGCCUUUGGGCUAGAAUUGAAAAAAGGUACAACAAACAGAGGGGGAACUUUCCUUGCCGAGUGAACAGAGCGCUUAGCAGCAGAUGGGACAAGAUAAGAGCAGAUGUAAGUAAGUUUGCUGGCUACUACGCAAGAGUUCUCAGAGAGAAACAAAGUGGAUUAACUGAUGACGACAAGACUUCGAAGGCGGCAACAUUAUUUGCACACGAGGAGAACAAAACUUUCCAGUACAUGCAUUGCUGGCACCAACUUAAGGGAGAACCGAAAUGGGAGAGCAUUUGUAGUGGACAAUCGUUCCGCGGAUUGAAUGCAAAUCCACUUGGGUCAACAGGUACUCCGUAUGCUCCGACAACUGAUAAAGAUAGUUCAUCUGCAGGGUUGACAGGAAAACGGCCGCGUGGUCGUGAUUUCAGUAAAUCUGAGAGAAACAAACCUGCAUCAUCUUCAUCUCCAGAGUACCUUAGCCGUUUGCAAGAAAUAACUGAAAAACAAAUUCAGAGGUCCAUAGAAAAGGGUGCAAAAAAAGAGAAGUGCACAGAAGAAGACAGGGAAAUGGAGAAAAAGAGGUUAGAAUUGGAAGCAGAAAAGGUCAUCAUACGAAAAAGGGAAUUGAAACUUCAAGAACUAGAAUCUGCUGAAAAAAGAUUACAAAGGCUGGAGGCAACGAAUGAAGAAGAUGUCCAACCACAAGUUUGGAUUAUGAUGCAAAAACAAAAACAGAAGUUGCAAGAAUUCAUAUUUGGUUACGAGUGAAAGAUAUAUUCGGUUACUCGUAACUUGAGGUUGUUUUACCGAACCUGUUUGUAUUAUUUGGUUAUGUGAGAACGUUACAUUUGUUUGGCAGACCAUUAUAUUUUUUGUUCGAACCAUAAGUCG